RNAcentral lists this long non-coding RNA (457 nucleotides) under Vigna radiata. RNAcentral describes it as "long non-coding RNA (VRAD_LNC002240)". Lineage: Eukaryota; Viridiplantae; Streptophyta; Magnoliopsida; Fabales; Fabaceae. The record is from RNAcentral.
AUAUCAUGAAUUCUAAGUUUUAAGGUUAAGGGUAUUUUAAUAAUUUUCAUUCCCAAAAUUAAAAAAAUAAAAAAAGAAACCCCUAAACCCUUACCCAUCUCUCUCAUUCCUCUCAACCAUUUCUCUUUCAUCUCUUUCACUUCAACCUUUUCUCUGUCAUCCCUACUCUAGCUCCAAUUGAAAAAAAAUCAGAAACACUUGCCUUAUUUUAAUAAUUUUCAUUCUCAAAACUAAAAAAAGAAAACCCCAAACCCUUACUCACCCCUCCUUUAUUCCUCUCAACCCCUUCUCCUUCAUCUCUCUCACUCAAACAUUACAUUUUCUCUCUCACUCAAACAUUUUCUCUGUCAUCUCUGCACUAGCCCCAACUAAAAAACAUUCAUUAUUAAACGAUUUACUUUUGUAAAGAGUUGAGUCAUAUUCACCUUUCGAAAAAAGUUCAUUAAAAACCUCUAUA